Asparagus officinalis (garden asparagus) is the source of this 422-nucleotide long non-coding RNA. RefSeq lists it as uncharacterized. The transcript has 2 exons. NCBI's taxonomy places the organism in Eukaryota, Viridiplantae, Streptophyta, Magnoliopsida, Asparagales, Asparagaceae. The record is from RefSeq and is a predicted model, not a curated record.
UCUCAUCUAUCAUAUCAUCCAAAAUUCUCUGUUCUCUACAAUCUCACAAAGAACUAAAUCAUAUUCUAGAUUAUUAAUGAGAAUUUGGCAUGCAAUUAGGGAGGAUGGCUCUGUUCUUCUCCGCUACACUCUUGAUGAUGGAUGAUGUCGAUGGUGAUGAAAUCAAGUUCUCGGAUUGGGAGGUUUUGGAAAUAAUAAAAAGAUUUAUGGGACGAACAGAUCUAGUUCGAUAAUGUAGCAGAGCCGGUGUAUGCCCAACCGGAGUGUCUUUCCGAUGGAGUGGAAGAACAAACUGAAGCGUAGUGGUUUUCUUCUGUAGUAGUUGUGGAAUAUUAGAACUCUUUUAUAGUAUUUCUUUAGUUUGAUGAUGUAUUUAGUUAUUUUAUCAGUAUUUCCUUUUGUUAUGGACUGCAUUUUUAUUC